GACAGAGGUGCCGAGCGUUAGGCGGAAUCACUGGGCUUAAAGCGUGUGUAGGCGGGCGGGCAAGUACCUUGUGAAAUCCCACGGCUCAACCGUGGAACGGCUGGGUAUACUGCCUGUCUUGAGCCAACUAGGGGCGAGCGGAACAGACGGUGGAGCGGUGAAAUGCGUAGAUAUCGUCUGGAACGCCGAAGGUGAAAACAGCUCGCUGGGGUGUGCUGACGCUGAGACACGAAAGCCAGGGGAGCGAACGGG
Molecule: ribosomal RNA, 252 nt
Filed under: uncultured bacterium
Lineage: Bacteria
Description: partial 16S ribosomal RNA
Rfam family: Bacterial small subunit ribosomal RNA
Source: RNAcentral